UUCCUGGAAAGUUUUUCUCUGAUUCUUUCUGUACUUCUACAUAGUUUUCUUUUGGAGAGCUUUUAAGGUAGUUUUAUUAAGCUCAGAAGUCUUAAAAGAGGCAGGCGCUCUUAAAGUACUUUGAUGAGAUGGGAUGGUUUCUUUUCUUGAAAUCGCUCCUUAAGGACUCUUUUCUUGAAUUUAGUAUAACUAAGCAAUGGCUAAACAGGUUUGAUAUGAUCCACAUUUGAUCCGAGGUAUUUAUUUUUUUUGGGUAAGCUUAUCCGAAGUAGUGUUCGACAGCACAUAGUACAUGAAAGGCUUCUUUUAGCGGUUGUUGCACGUUGCAAU
RNAcentral lists this long non-coding RNA (330 nucleotides) under Coffea arabica (coffee). Its description in RNAcentral is "long non-coding RNA (CARA_LNC003121)". The record is from RNAcentral. Lineage: Eukaryota; Viridiplantae; Streptophyta; Magnoliopsida; Gentianales; Rubiaceae.